ACGACGCCGUAUCGAAGCAGUUAUUCAGAUUUUCUACUGUUUUCCAGUUUCCACCCCAGUAUAAAAACAGAACUUCUCCAUUUCGAUUUUUCCCCGCUCAAAUUUCCGUUACUUUCUCGCACUUUCAUUUUCCUUUCACAUUAACUUGCUCGUUUUCUCGCUAGCUCAGAAACAAGAUCGCGGAAAAUGGAGGACAUGGAUGAUGAAAUCGAUGACGUUCCUCAGGUUUACAUGGCCUGCAUACAAAACGGUCAUAGAAUUGGAGUUUCUUAUUAUGAUUCCAGCCUCCGACAACUAAAUGUGCUUGAAGCUUGGGAUGAUGGGGACAAAGGUUUUUCGGUUAUUGAUCUGGUGAAAUUUCAAGCAAACCCUCUGGUCAUAUACACAAGCACUAAAUGUGAAGAAUCUUUCUUGGCUGCUCUGCAACGAAGUGAUGAAGUAGCUGAGGCUCUUACAGUAAAGCUUGUGAAAAGUUCAAUAUUCAGCUAUGAGCAAGCAUGGCACAGAUUAAUUUACCUUCGGGUGGCGGGAAUGGAUGACGGAUUAGACGUCAAGGAGAGGAUUUACUUUUUGAGUUCCAUGAUGGACAUGGGAAGUGAAAUACAAGUUCGUGCUAGUGGGGGCCUUCUUGCAAUAUUAGAGAAUGAAAGGAUUGUAGACACUCUUGAGCAAAAAGAAUCUGGAAAUACAUCAAUUACAAUAGAUUCUUUAGCAGAAAUUUCACUAAAUAACUUUAUCAAGCUUGAUGCAGCAGCUCAUGAAGCAUUACAAAUAUUCCAGAUAGACAAGCACCCAAGCCACAUGGGAAUUGGUAGAGCAAAAGAAGGGUUUUCUGUAUUUGGAAUGAUGAAUAAGUGUGUCACACCAAUGGGUAGACGUCUUUUGAGACAGUGGUUCUUGAGGCCCAUACUUGAUCUUGAAGUUCUAAACUACCGCUUAAAUUCUAUAUCUUUCUUUCAAUGCUCAGAAGAACUUGUUGUUUCUUUACGUGAAACCCUGAAAUCUGUGAAAGACAUACCCCACUUGCUUAAGAAAUUUGACUCUCCAAGCUCCAUAUGCACUAGCAAUGAUUGGGCAGCACUUCUGAAGAGCAUCAGUGCACUAUUGCAUAUAAACAAGAUAUUUGAAGUUGGAAUUUCUGAAGGUCUUCAUGAAGAAUUGAAGUACUUGAACUUGGAUAUUGUUGAGAUGGCAAAUUCAUGCAUAACAACGGAGCUUGCUUAUGUCUAUGAGCUGAUAAUUGGGGUUAUUGAUGUAAAUAGAAGUAAAGAGAAGGAUUAUAUGACAGUGGUGAAAGAAGGUUUCUGUGAUGAGUUGGAUGAGCUAAGGCAAAUAUAUGAGGAACUGCCAGAAUUCCUGGCAGAGGUUUCAUCAUUGGAACUUGCACAACUCCCUGAUCUAUGCAAGGACAAGUUUGUUCCAUGUAUUGUUUAUAUACAGCAAAUAGGAUAUUUAAUGUGCAUCUUUGAAGAAAAACUUGAAGAAGCUACUCUGGAGAAACUUAUAGAAUGGGAAUACACUUUUUGUGAUGAAGAUGGAGAGACGAAAAGAUACUUUUAUCGUACGCCAAAGACACGAGAAUUGGACAAUCUUCUAGGAGAUAUCUAUCAUAAAAUUCUAGAUAUGGAGAGGGCGAUCACUAGAGACUUGUUUUCACAUGUAUCAUUGUUCUCAACCCAUUUGAUAAAGGUUUCAACUUUUGCGGCUGAACUGGACUGCUUUUUGUCAAUGGCUUUGGUUGCUCGACAGAACAAUUAUGUCAGACCUUUAUUGACCGAAGAAAACAUGCUCGAUAUAAAAAAUGGAAGGCAUGUUUUACAGGAAAUGACUGUAGACACAUUUAUUCCUAACAAUACUAAGAUUUUUCAUGAUGGAAGAGUUAAUAUCAUUACUGGUCCUAACUUUUCUGGGAAGAGUAUCUAUAUAAAACAGGUGGCUAUAAUUGUUUACCUGUCCCACAUCGGUAGUUUUGUACCAGCUGAUGCAGCAACUGUUGGGCUGACAGAUAGAAUAUUUUGUGCGAUGGGAAGCAGGCUUAUGACAGCAGAACAAUCAACAUUUAUGAUUGAUCUACAUCAAAUUGGGAUGAUGCUGAGGCAUGCUACUUCACGAUCUCUGUGUCUGGUGGAUGAAUUUGGUAAAGGUACUCUUACAGAAGACGGUGUUGGUCUGCUUGCAGGGGCCAUAAAUCACUUUAUCACAUGUGAUGAACCUCCAAAGGUUUUUGUGUGCACUCAUCUGAUGGAUUUAUUGCAUGGGUGUUCUUUGACCAAGUCUGAGCAGAUUAAGUUCUACACAAUGAGUAUACUGAGGCCUGAAGACAUUUCAACUCAAAUGGAAAACAUCGUAUUUUUAUAUAGGCUUGUCCCAGGGCAUGUGCAUCAUAGCUAUGGGCUGCACUGUGCGUUGCUUGCAGGUAAUUUACAAGAUUACUGUUUAUAUAAGGCGUGCCAGACGAAAUUAUAAAAAGAGCAGAAGUUGUGUUGGAUGCUGUAUCACAAAACAAUUGUGUUGAGAGGUUAUGCAAUGAGAACAUCUCCGCUCAAGAUGAUGAAUACAAGGAUGCCAUGGAGAAAUUGUUGACAUUCGAUAUUGACAAUGGCGACUUAAACCUUUUUUUCGAGGAGAUAUUCUCUAGUUCCUAAUGCAUCAUGACCAAGUCUUUUGGUUGUAGUUUUCAACAAGGAUCUUCAUCAUAUUAAUAUUAGUCAUCACUAGCCUCCAUAUAUGUCGAUUGAUAUGAUUAAACUAAUGUGGAAUCAAUGGCCUCCAUGUAUUACAAUUUUUUUCCCACGA
Trifolium pratense (red clover) is the source of this 2796-nucleotide RNA transcript. It is a transcript of the gene named DNA mismatch repair protein MSH5-like, with no coding region annotated. The record is from RefSeq and is a predicted model, not a curated record. The transcript is spliced from 34 exons. Lineage: Eukaryota; Viridiplantae; Streptophyta; Magnoliopsida; Fabales; Fabaceae.